Molecule: long non-coding RNA, 244 nt
Organism: Suricata suricatta (meerkat)
Lineage: Eukaryota; Metazoa; Chordata; Mammalia; Carnivora; Herpestidae
Exons: 2
Source: RefSeq, a predicted model, not a curated record
CCAAAAUGUUCUCCUGCUGCUCCUCUGAGCUCCCAAUGGUGGUAACACCUACUAUAUGUCUACCCUAAGACUGUCAAAAUGAUUGCACAAGAAAGGAAUUACCUUUUUCCUCCUAGGAUUCUUGUAGAGUUUCAAGUUCUAUAAUCAUUUUUACUUACUCUAUUGUUUAUCCUGAUCUGUACACAUGCCCCAGGAUUUCUUCUGAAGGAAUAAAUGUAAAUUAUAACUGAAAGUAAAAAUGAAA